AAGAAGCGAACCUGCGAAGGCAAGCGGAUCUCUUAAAGCCGUUCUCAGUUCGGACUGUAGGCUGCAACUCGCCUACACGAAGCUGGAAUCGCUAGUAAUCGCGGAUCAGCACGCCGCGGUGAAUACGUUCCCGGGCCUUGUACACACCGCCCGUCACACCAUGAGAGUCUGUAACACCCAAAGCCGGUGGGAUAACCUUUAUAGGAGUCAGCCGUCUAAGGUAGGACAGAUGAUUAGGGUGAAGUCGUAACAAGGUAGC
This 259-nucleotide ribosomal RNA is filed under the name uncultured bacterium. RNAcentral's name for it is "partial 16S ribosomal RNA". It matches the Rfam family "Bacterial small subunit ribosomal RNA", at positions 1244 to 1500 of the family's 1533-position model. The record is from RNAcentral.